AGAGUUUGAUCCUGGCUCAGGACGAACGCUGGCGGCACGCUUAACACAUGCAGGUCGAACGAGAGAAGAGGAGCUUGCUUUUCUGAUCUAGUGGCGGACGGGUGAGUAACACGUGAGCAAUCUGCCUUUCAGAGGGGGAUACCGAUUGGAAACGAUCGUUAAUACCGCAUAACAUAAUUGAACCGCAUGAUUUGAUUAUCAAAGAUUUAUCGCUGAAAGAUGAGCUCGCGUCUGAUUAGCUAGUUGGUAAGGUAACGGCUUACCAAGGCGACGAUCAGUAGCCGGACUGAGAGGUUGAUCGGCCACAUUGGGACUGAGACACGGCCCAGACUCCUACGGGAGGCAGCAGUGGGGAAUAUUGCACAAUGGAGGAAACUCUGAUGCAGCGAUGCCGCGUGGGGGAAGAAGGUUUUAGGAUUGUAAACCUCUGUCUUCAGGGACGAAAAAAGACGGUACCUGAGGAGGAAGCUCCGGCUAACUACGUGCCAGCAGCCGCGGUAAUACGUAGGGAGCGAGCGUUGUCCGGAAUUACUGGGUGUAAAGGGAGCGUAGGCGGGAUCGCAAGUCAGAUGUGAAAACUAUGGGCUUAACCCAUAAACUGCAUUUGAAACUGUGGUUCUUGAGUGAAGUAGAGGUAAGCGGAAUUCCUAGUGUAGCGGUGAAAUGCGUAGAUAUUAGGAGGAACAUCAGUGGCGAAGGCGGCUUACUGGGCUUUAACUGACGCUGAGGCUCGAAAGCGUGGGGAGCAAACAGGAUUAGAUACCCUGGUAGUCCACGCCGUAAACGAUGAUUACUAGGUGUGGGGGGACUGACCCCUUCCGUGCCGCAGCAAACGCAAUAAGUGAUCCACCUGGGGAGUACGACCGCAAGGUUGAAACUCAAAGGAAUUGACGGGGGCCCGCACAAGCAGUGGAGUAUGUGGAUUAAUUCGAAGCAACGCGAAGAACCUUACCAGGUCUUGACAUCGUAUGCAUAGCUCAGAGAUGAGUGAAAUCUCUUCGGAGACAUAUAGACAGGUGGUGCAUGGUUGUCGUCAGCUCGUGUCGUGAGAUGUUGGGUUAAGUCCCGCAACGAGCGCAACCCUUACUGUUAGUUGCUACGCAAGAGCACUCUAGCAGGACUGCCGUUGACAAAACGGAGGAAGGUGGGGAUGACGUCAAAUCAUCAUGCCCCUUAUGACCUGGGCCUCACACGUACUACAAUGGCUGUCAACAGAGGGAAGCAAAGCCGCGAGGUGGAGCGAACCCCUAAAAGCAGUCUUAGUUCGGAUUGUAGGCUGCAACCCGCCUACAUGAAGUCGGAAUUGCUAGUAAUCGCAGAUCAGCAUGCUGCGGUGAAUACGUUCCCGGGCCUUGUACACACCGCCCGUCACGCCAUGGGAGUCGGUAACACCCGAAGCCUGUAGUCUAACCGCAAGGAGGACGCAGUCGAAGGUGGGAUUGAUGACUGGGGUGAAGUCGUAACAAGGUA
RNAcentral lists this ribosomal RNA (1470 nucleotides) under metagenome. Its description in RNAcentral is "bacterial SSU rRNA". It matches the Rfam family "Bacterial small subunit ribosomal RNA". The record is from RNAcentral.